UCCUUAGAUGUUCUGGGCCGCACGCGUGCUACACUGAGUAAUUCAAUGGGUAAGGGAACGCUAGAGCAUUACCUAAUCUUGAAAUUUGCUCGUGAUGGGGAUCGACGGUUGCAAUUUUCCGUCGUGAACGAGGAAUACCUUGUAGGCGCAUGUCAUCAUCAUGCGCCGAAUACGUCCCUGCCCUUUGUACACACCGCCCGUCGCUCCUACCGAUUGAGUGAUCCGGUGAGGCUCUGGGACCUGGACGGAAAGAGCGUUUCGCUUGUUCUGUUUGGGAAACUUGGUCGAACCUUAUCAUUUAGAGGAAGGAGAAGUCGUAACA
RNAcentral lists this ribosomal RNA (322 nucleotides) under uncultured eukaryote. RNAcentral describes it as "partial 18S ribosomal RNA". It matches the Rfam family "Eukaryotic small subunit ribosomal RNA", at positions 1470 to 1796 of the family's 1831-position model. The record is from RNAcentral.